AAAAAAUAGAUUUUACUUUGACCCGAAUAACAAAGAUCUAUUACGGCUAUAGUUUAGCUAGAAGAAAUCAAUGUAACAUCUAUUGAUUUAUAUAAGAUGUAAUAGGAGUGAAACGCUUACAAUUUUUUUGAUAGCUGGAUGAAGCUUAAAUGAAUUAAGUUCUAUUUUAUAUCCAAAGAGUUAUAAGAUUUUUUGGUGAUAGAAUGGUUAGGGCACACUAAUUAACUGAAAUAAUUUUCUCUACUUUGAGCUUAAAUUAAAAUUAUUUUUAUGUAUUAUCUAUCAUAUAGGCUUUAAUUAAGUUUAUUUUAUUUUCUUAACAGAUAAUGUUUAAAUUAGUAUUGUUUUAAAAGAGCCUUUAGGAACUCGGCAAAUUAUUAUCCCUCAACUGUUUAGCAAAAACAUAGUUUAAGGUAAUUUUUCUUAGAUGUAGCCUGCCCAGUGAAUCAUUUAACGGCCGCAGUACACUGACUGUGCUAAGGUAGCAUAAUAAAUUGGCUUUUAAUUGGAGUCUGGAAUGAACGGGAUCAUGGGGGAUAGCUGUCUUAAGGCUCUAAACUAUAACUUACUUAAGAGGUGAAAAUUCCUUUAGACUAGAUGUAAGACGAGAAGACCCUUAGAAUUAUUACUAGUUCCUUAAAAGAUAUGUUUUUGUUGGGGCAACAAGUUCGUAUCAAACCGAAGUUAAGAGUUAUUAUACAAAUAUUAUGUUUUAAAAUAAGAUUUCAAUUACCUUAGGGAUAACAGCAUUAUUAUUUUUUUAGAUUAUGACCUCGAUGUUGGACUAAGGACUUUAAUAAAUAGCCUUUAUUAUAAAUAGUUCUGUUCGAACUUAAUUCCUUA
RNAcentral lists this ribosomal RNA (843 nucleotides) under Orculella sp. NHMW109000/AL/00427/6648. Its description in RNAcentral is "partial 16S ribosomal RNA". The stretch from base 340 to 590 matches the Rfam family "Archaeal large subunit ribosomal RNA", at positions 1784 to 2143 of the family's 2987-position model. The record is from RNAcentral. Lineage: Eukaryota; Metazoa; Mollusca; Gastropoda; Stylommatophora; Orculidae.